GUGGAUUAGAUACCCUAGUAGUCCUGGCAGUAAACGGUGCGCGUUUGGUGUGGGAGGAUUCGACCCCUUCUGUGCCGGAGCUAACGCGUUAAACGCGCCGCCUGGGGAGUACGGUCGCAAGAUUAAAACUCAAAGAAAUUGACGGGGGCCCGCACAAGCGGUGGAGUAUGUGGCUUAAUUCGAUGCAACGCGAAGAACCUUACCUAGCCUUGACAUGCAUCUCUAAGUCGGUGAAAGCCGGCGACUGUAGCAAUACAGAAUUUGCACAGGUGCUGCAUGGUCGUCGACAACU
This 292-nucleotide ribosomal RNA is filed under the name uncultured bacterium. RNAcentral describes it as "partial 16S ribosomal RNA". It matches the Rfam family "Bacterial small subunit ribosomal RNA", at positions 773 to 1060 of the family's 1533-position model. The record is from RNAcentral.